This 24381-nucleotide long non-coding RNA is filed under the name Salvia miltiorrhiza (redroot sage). RNAcentral describes it as "long non-coding RNA (SMIL_LNC000673)". Lineage: Eukaryota; Viridiplantae; Streptophyta; Magnoliopsida; Lamiales; Lamiaceae. The record is from RNAcentral.
GCUGAUAAAAUUAUUAAAGGAAUUAAACUCCAAAUGCAUAAUGUCAAUCUCACUAUCCUUAAACUCUUGUUAGAAAUUGAACGGUUGUACUUUCAUUAGUUAAUUACAUACACUAUCUAAUUUAGGUACCAAAAAAUAAUUCGCACUAAGUUCAAGGAUCUAUAUCAAGCUAGCAGCACUUGAAGGUCUGCAAGCAGCAGAUGCAGAGAGCAUAAUUUAUGCCAAGUUUGAAGUGGUUGUAAGAAAACCAGUACUUAAAAUUGUAAUAGACAUGUUCCAAAACUAGCACAGGACCAUGCAAGAAAAUAAUAUGAAAUGAUAAAUAUGAGAAUCAAGGAGCAGUACGUUUUCAUUUAUGCUACCUUUUUCAAUACAGUAGGUAUUUCCUUUAGGGACAGGCGGGAGGAUGGAGUGAGCUGGUUAAGCUCUCUAUCAUAAACCAAAUACGUUACUCUCAAAGCCAAAUAUCACUUUUUAAUGCAUGUAAAACACUACCAAUUGGCAAAAGGUUGUACAUAACAUCUGCCCAACUGCAGUUGUAAUGACAACAUGACUACUUCUAAAUUGUAAUUCAUCAGCCUCAAAUACACCUGAUUGUUCUAGCACCUAAUCUUAUAGAACAAAGGGAGACAAUUAUUAUCUAGAAUAGAAAAUUCAAGAUUUUAAACUUAUGAAGUUUCGACGAACAAUAAUUUAUUUCAUUAUAUAAUAAAACAACAAAAAUUGUCAGCAAAACUAAAAAGUAGCAACUAACAAAAAAAACAUUUGUUUUGAAUAUAAUGUGUAGUUUAUAGAUUUAAUCUUUGUAAAAAACUUUCCAUUAUGAACGUUUUGUGCUCCACUAACACAAACUCGAAAGUGAGAGAUUUACAAAUCCAGCAUCAUAACGCCAUCAACUUCAGUUCUAAAAAUUAUGCUCUUUUUGCAUGAGAUUAAUUGAAACGGGCUUUUAAAUUAGCAUAUACUAAAUUACAAGCUAAAGAACAUAGAAACUUGUCAUCAGCUAGUAAAUUACAACGGGAAUCAAAUCGAAAUGAUAGUUUUUCUGCAACAACCUUGUCUUGCGAUAAAAUUGAAAACCUCAAAAAACUUAGAUUCCCUAGUAGCUUUCCACUAAAGGAAUCAUAGAAUACUCAAGAAUGUUCAUAUCGUGAAGUUCAUCAUCAUAUUUCACAAACUUCCUAUUCCCACAACCUGAGGUUGCAUUUAGAGUUGGGGAUUAGAAAUGCGAGGAUUGGGAAUACCUUAAGCCCAGAAUGAGACCGUAUAGAAUACCUCUCUAUUACCAUUAUUUAAACCAAUGCUACCACCAAAAGUGUUAAUUUGAAGCCCACAACAACCAUGAUAAUGACAAACUUCUCUAACAGAGUGUUCAACAACUGGUCCCCUAGAAACAAAACUGUUAAACUGGUGAAUCACAUUAAAAGGAAUGUGAAAAUAUGGUAGGGAGUGGAUUGAAAGUGAAAUAAAACACCAAAAUAACUAGAUAUUAUCGACUUCCAAUUCCCUGGACCAGAGUAGCAUGAAUUGCAAACAAGUAGUCCAAUUCUGCCACGUAAAAAAAAACUAGAAAACGGUUAAGAUUACCAUUUUUUUAUAUAAAUUAACAGUAUUAAAUAAAANAAUUUAAAGGUCGCGCCACAGGGGACUCGAACCCAAGACCUUUGGCCUUAGGCACUAACCCCUUAGCGCUUGACCAACACAUGCGCACAGUUAAGAUUACCAUUGUUCCUUCAGCGUCUUGCUCAUUAGCCUAGUCUUGAAGAAACCACGUGGCACUUCUGUGAUCUUCCACGUCCGUCUUCAAGUCGAGGAGCUCAAAUAUCAAGCUCUCAUCACGCGUUGGAUCAACAAAAACCUCCUACAACAAUAAUAUUAGUAAUUAAACAUAGCCGAUAAAACACAAAUGGAUAAAAGAAAAAUCAAACAUUCACGAAGUGUCCGACCCGAUGAUCAGGAACUUGGCGUAUGUUCGCACCAUACGGUAUGGUAUACCGAUGAUCAGGAACAUUCACGAAAUGUUCCGACCUGACCCGAAAGAAAAAAUUUGGUCUAGUAUACCGAUUUUUUUUGCCAUAUCAUAUACCGUACCGUGAAUUGCGGUAUGAGAUUUUUCAUAUCGCUACCUUACCAAACUCUUCGGCAUAUUGAAGAUCGGUAUACCGAAAAAAUUGAUAUGAACUUUUUCAUACCAAUAUCAUACCAAUAGUGCGGUAUACCGUACUAAAGUUCGGUAUAUCAUAUUUUAUGGUAUGCCGAAAUUAUUGAUAUAUCAUUUUAUGUCUAAAUUAUCAAAAUUUUACGGUAUACCAUAUAUCUGUACACACCAAAAUUACAUCAAACAAAUAUAAUUAUGAAAUAAAAAUAUAAUUUAUCAGUAACUAUAAUAUAUAUAUAUAUAUAUAUAAUUUAUUUCAAUCGAUACGGUAUAUAGGUAUUUAAUAUAUAUCGGUAUCGCGGUAUCCAUCGAAAUAUUGAAAUAUAUAAAAGAAAAGGUAUAUACCGCGGCAUCGGUAUAUAUCGGUAUACCGGGGUAUGAGGAAAAUUGAUACCGUUAUCGUACUAAAGUUUUUCGGUACAGUACCAUGUUGUACCAAAAUUUAUGGUAUACCAAAAAUUCGGUAUUUUCGAUACGAUAAGUGCGGUAUACCGAUUUGUCGAUAUUUUGGUCCACCCCUAUUCAAGCUUGCCUCUCGGCUUCACUCUUGAUCGGUCCGCCAUCUGAAUCACCAUCGAGGUCGCUUGAGAUCUCCAAUUCUCAAAUGCUUAAAAACAGAGAUGGGCAUCACAUUGACACUAGCCCCUAAAUCACAAAUAACCUCGGGAAAGAGCUCUCUGCCAAUCUCACACUUAAUGGUGAAGUUACCUGUAUCUUUCUUCUUCGAAAGUAGCUUCAUUGGCAGUUCAGUGCACAAAUCUUUUUUUGGCUUAAUUUUCGCCCCCUCAUCUUUCUCCUUGUCAUCCUAUAGCUUUGAAUAAGUCUGAGGCUAUGCACGUACGCCGGUCCGAUUCUUGGAGUAGUCUUUGCAGAUCUUCCACUAUAUGCCUGUACUCUGUCGUCUCAGGAUUAUCAGCUUCUUUCUCAUUUUUGCUAUGGGAAAUCUCCAGCUUUGUUUCCUUGGUGUCCACCUUUUUGUGCAUCUUUACAACACAUUACUCUUCAAGCGCCUCCCUCUUCAUCAACCUACGGGAGAAUGGAGCCUUUAGGAUGUACUCCCUAAGUGGAACAUGAGCCUUGUAUGGUUCCUCAAUUGGACGUUCGUGCUCCUUGCUCAUCUCCUCACAGCUUGCCAGAGAGAUUUCAAUCGUCUUCUUAUCUUCUUGGGACAGAGCGCCAUCAAAAAUCGCAUUGCAUUGGCCUUUCUGCUUGCCUUCGGUAUGUCCAGGCCUAAUCUACGUAGUUGCAUGGUUAGCCAUUUGGCCAACUUUAGUUUCCAACAUCUUCAUCUGCUUUGAUAGAGCUAUUGGCCAUCCACGCACCUAUUGGGGGUCCCGGAGGGUUGAUUGGAUAGGUGUAUGAGGGGAGGGGGGAAACACCUGUAGGCUAUUUUUCGCAAAACAAAACAAACUUAACCAAAUUUCAGUUGGAAAUAGGUAGUAGACUGAUACUGAAAUGACUUCAGUAAUUUGACAUCAGUUGAGUGUAAAGCUUAAUUGAUAUCUACGUAAGGCUUCAGUCUAGAGUUUGCAAAAUAGAGUAGAGUAAUAUACACUAACUAUCAGUUGAAUCAUCAGUUAGAUUAAUAACUCAGCAGCAGAAUUUAAACUUAGUGCGAAUAGCCUUUAGAAAAGGUUUGUCACUGGUAAAAUCCUUAAUUACACUUUUCAGUUAAUCCAGUUUAGUUGAAAACAGUUUUAGCACAAAGAAAGUAAUAACUGAAAGCAGAUAAAGAACACAAGAAUUUUUACGUGGUUUGGAAACAACAUUCUUACUCCAUGGCCAAACGAUUUGUCUGACAAACACUCUAGGCUAAUGCAUAUAGGUGCACAGUAAACCUACCAACCCACUCUGAGUUGGAUUUCCCUCUUGGCUUACUAGGUGCCAAGGAAUCGAUCUGUUUAGUUUUCCUAGUACUAAACAACCACUCUUGGCUUAUCGGGUGCCAAGGAACCGAUCUGUUUAGUUUUCCUGGUACUAAACAACCACUCUUGGCUUACCGGGUGCCAAGAAACCUAAAUGUUUAGAUUACCUGGUACUAAACAACCACUCAAACACUCUUUUCUCUCGGUUGAAAAAGGGUUUGGACUCUUCCAACUAAGACUACUGAGAACAGGCUCUCAAGUAAUCUAUUCUAGGCUUAAGAUAAAACAAGAAAUGCCUAGAUCAUUAAGAGAGUUUAGAUAAUCAGCUAGACUGAUUUUACAACAAUUAAUUACGCUCUUCUUCGAUUCAAAAUUCUAUCUAUGGAAAUGUUGGCUCGUGAAUUUGACAGAGCUUCAGCGUAUGUCUUCGAAUUGGUCCCCCCCAGAUUGAAGAUGUUCCUCGAGCUCUAUUUAUAGGUGAAGUCCCGAUUAUAUCCGUUGGAGAGAUGGUCUUAAGGAUUUCGGCCGUUGUGAGACAUUUCGUGCUUUGGGCUGAGGCUUCAAUCUGUUUGGCUCCAAUAUGGUUAAGAGUUUGAAUUCUCUUUGUCCUAGGAGUUUGGUGCGUCUGAACUUUAGCACCAAAAAGGAAAGUUGGUGUACUGAAAAUGACGAUCUUCAUAUAUGAUGCAUUUAAUGCUGUUGCAGGAGUAUUUAAUGUGGAUGUCUGAGCUUCAGUCCGAUGAAGAAGAUCGACUGAUAUAACUUUCAAGAAUCAAUUGUGCUUUCACUACUAUAAAAGUUUACAUACAUAACAGUGCAUACACAAUGGUUUUUGUAAAAAUCGUUAUCUAUGAGCGCACUUUUAGGAAUAGAUUACGGUUUGAUAAAAAUAUGUUAUCUAUGUAGUGUUGUCUAUACGAAUACAUAACGGUUUGAAUUAAUUCGUUAUGUUUAUGUGUUAUCUAUUAGUUGCAUACAUAACGGUAUUACAAAACCGUUAAGUCGACCGUUAUCUAUGAGCAUCUUUUUAUAUCGGUUAUUUUAACCGUUAUAUAUGAAUGCCUCAAAACUGUUAUGUAUUAAGUUUUUUAUAUUUAUUAUUAAUUUUAAUAAUAUUAUAUAAAAUUAAAACCCUAAUUACCUAAUACACAAAAAUUCCCUCCAACUUAGUUUCACCCAUUCCACUCCACCCAAUCCGCCGCUGAACUCCCUCUUACGGCCACACCACAUGUCCGACCACCACAGCACCAGCCCAGCCGCCUUCGUCGCAGCGCAACACCACCGCGAGCCACUACAGAACCGCCGCCCCUCCCCAUCUCCUGGCAUCUACACAAGGCGGCUUCGUGCGCCACCAUCGUUCCUAUCACGAACAUCGAAGAAAAGCCACCAGCCGGCGCGAUUCACACCAUACCAGCAGCGCCAAACAUCUCCUGCCACCAUCUCCCGCCGCCCAGCCACCUUCGCCCUUUUUCCUGUCACCACCGUCAGUUUCCAGACACUGCCGCGCAGCCCCAGCUCUAAUCUCAAUCGCGCUGUCUGCCGGCGCGAGCCCUGCCCCUCCUCCACCUUCUUGAUUCGCAUUCAGGGAAGUUUGUUUCUUCAUUUUUGUGUUGUUCAAAUCAGGACUUGAUUUUUUGCUAAAUUAGGGCUCAAAUCUAGAAAGAGGCUCCCCUAAAUUGAUCUAUAAAAGGAUUUAAAUAGAUUGACGCUAUUAAGUUGAGACUCGAGCAGGAGUGCCUUGCAAUUAUGUCUUGUGCUGAUAUUGUAGUUUUAUCAGCAAGAGUGGGUGGAGAUCAGUUCUCUCUCUCUCUUUCGCCAUUUCCUAUUCUCUGUAGUAGAGAAUAGUUUCAAGGUCUACUCUCAAUUCCUCUUUGUUUUAUUUUGUCCGUGUUUUAAAAUGUGUGGUGUUGUAGAAUUAAUGGUGCUAAUGGAGUUUUGUGUGAUGGUAUUUUGUGGUUUUAGGGUUCAAUUUGUGAAGUUUGUGUUAACUAGAUUUUGCUUACAGAUUAGUCUUUGUAACUAGGAAUAUGAAUUUAUCAGCAAUAUUAUCCUUGAAGAGACACUAAACUGAAUUGAGGUUGCUGGGAGUUAUAAGGAUUUGAUGAACAAUAUUUGUCUCGGUAUUCAGUUUGCUCAGUUGGGUGAUCUUAUUUGUGGUUUUGAGUUGUAGUAUUUUCUUGCUUGGUCAUAAAAGUUUGCAUUUGAAGGAAUGGUGAAGUUUUAUGGCACUUAGUUUAUUGCUUGCUUCAGAAACAGGUACACAAACAGUUGGUGGAAGAAAACUCAAAAAGCUGAAGCCCCCCAUCAACCCCCUCCCCCACCCCCCGAGCAUCUCCAAGACUAGCAGGCUUAGGGGAAGGCCGAGAAAGGUGAAUCCACAGCCAUUUCAGACGGGAUUUGAAGCCUAAGAUGCGUGCUGCCCCUUUUAACAUAGAGGUUUAUGUGUGACUAAGUCAUGUUAGGUGUCUCAAAGUUGUUUGAAUAUGAAUGAUUAUUUGACACACUUUUGAUGGGAAAGAAAGAUCUUAUAUAUAUAUAUGCAUUUUAAAGGUAUAUCAGAUGACAUUUAAUAAAGGUAUACAUAAUUGAAAUCAAUGAGUUGGUUAGUCAUCUAUUUUUGAUAAUGUUAGUAAUUAUAUGAUGCUACCAACAUUGGACAGGCAAAGCUACAGUGGUUAUGGAAACGAGUGGUGCUGGAAAAUCGUGAGUCUUACAGUUCCAUCUCAUAUUCCUCUUCCUCUUGUCAUUACUUAAGUUCAUCUUAAUUAAUUAUAGUAAAUUUUUGGUGCACAUCUAUUGGGAAGGAUUUUUGUCCAAUCGGGAAACAAUAUCAGGUCUGUUUAUUAAUUUGGUUUGACACUUCAUACUAUUUGUCAGGAAUUACAUUUGUUAUAUAUCUAGGGGAUUCUUGAGCGGGAUUCUUACACAUUUGCAGGCUCUGCUAGCUGCUCUUGCUGUUAGUCUAGUCAAGUUAUCUCAAAUUAUACAAUUGGAAUCUCUUCGUUCAGAAAUAGCUUCUUUAGAAGAAAGAGAUUCUCACUUUAAAGCUCAGUAAGAAAGCUUCAUUCUGCAUUUUAACUUGCCUACUUACCCACUAAUUUGCUCCUAGAAUGUCUUCUACUCUCUUCAUUUUUUUAUUAUAUCUUAUGUCUUGCCUUCUUUGAUGUAAGCCCAUUUGAUGUGCCUUCAAUGUCGACUUUUUAUAGUUCAACAAAAUUGUAGAGAUUGUUCGAAUCAUUUAAGCUGGUAUGUUAUUGUUUCUUAUGUUGGUGUUUGAUUAUUCAUAACAUUUUCUGAUUACGUGCAAGUCCGACUUUUUGUUAGCUAGAGCAGCUUAGGUCAUAUAGGUUUCUCGCUCUCUUACUGCAUGUAAAGGAGCUCUUACUUGUUGUAGAUGCCUCCCAGGUCCUUCUGGAUUCUUGAGGUAAUAGUCUUUUUCAUUAAUCUGCUAUUUUGGUCUCUUUUCAAUUGAUAAUAUUCUGCUUUCUGUUAAGUUGGAUUUGAAGUCGGCUUGAUGUUACAUUCUGAACAUCAUGUACUGCCAACUCUUGAUCAUUAACAAUAUGUUGAGCAAUAAUUUUUUGGAGGAAAAUUAUUCUUAAUUUAAAUAUACCCUAUGUUUUCUGUAUGUGAAGAUGGUGAGCACUAAGAUGGAAUGAAAAGAAGAUGUAACAAUUUUGACUUCUGAAUUUCCUUUGGCUGCACGAGUUAGCUACUUUUAGAUGCUAUAUAUCAAUACUUUAAAACAAAUUUGUGGAUUAUUGGUUGCAAAAUUGAGAUGAUGGGUUGGAUAAUAAUUUGUCCAUAGCAUAAGAUGAUAUACAAAGGGCAAUAAUCAUGCUUUGGUUUCAUUAUUAUCUUGUGCAUAAUAAUUUGUCCAGUAGCUUAGUGCAACUUAGACAUUCCUGCUUUGGCUUCAUUACUAUCUUUCGCCAUGUGCCGAGUGCAGGUUGACAGCAUACUUGGCGCCCGUGGCGAUGCUUUUGAGCAUGAGGCAACUAGAAGAAUGCGUAAUGAAUUUAUGGUAGCUUGGGAUGGCUUGAGGUCAAAAGACAACCAGAGAAUCAUAGCAGGUUGAUUAACUAGUUCUUGAGGACUUGGUGCUAGAAACAUUGAAUGAUAGAUUUUUGUUUUAGCUAUAAGGUAGUUGGUAUUUUCAAUUUUGAAUCGGAAUAUGCAAUGAUGAUGUAUACUUGAUAUUUGGUUCAUUUGUAUAAUAAUGUAUGAAUAUUUUGGAUGAUAUAUAAUAUUGUUAUUGUUGAUUUUAUCAUUUUGUCGUUUUAUAAAAAUUGCAAAAUUUAAAAAUAUACUACAAUUAUAAAAAGUGCAAAAAACUGUUAUAAAAGGUGUGAAAAAUCGUUAUGUAUUCUAAUCAAAGAUAACGGUUAAAAUCGUUAUAAAAACUGUAAAAAUCGUUAUAAAAAGUGCAAAAAAUCGUUAUAAAAAGUGCAAAAAACCGUUAUGUAUUCUAUCAAAGAUAACGGUUAAAACCGUUAUAAAAAGUGCAAAAAACUGUUAACUAUGAUUAAAAAAAUAAAAAAAAUUAUAAUACAUAACGGAAAAAUCUUAAUACAUAACGGUGAAAAACCGUUAUGUAUAACUUUUAUAGAUAACGGAUGGGUACUGUUAUGUAUGACGCAUCGUACCGUUAUCUAUGCUACUAUACAUAACGAUUUUAAAACGUUGUCUAUGAUACGUAUCAUAGACAACGCCACUAUACACAACGGUUUUUUUGCUCAUAGAUAACGGAACAAAUUCGUUAUCUAUGAGCGUUUUUCUAGUAGUGUUUUGUCCUUUGCUUGACCAGUCGUUGACUUCUGUUCAGUUAUCCUUUGUAUCACCAGUAUCUUUCCUCAGUUGUUCGAUCUUCAGUUGAGCUUUGAUCUUCAAGGUCUUCAGUCUUUAGUUUCUUCGGUCUUCGUCAUCAAGAAACACACAACUCAACAUCGGGCAUCAUGCAAAUGACUUGAGAAAUUAAAAACAGAGCCUGGACAAAGAGUUGUUGUCAUCAAGUUGAUGGAGCAAUUCUUUUCUUAUAUAAUCUUUGAGAAAUUGAUUAGGUAUCAUUUCAAAAGAGCAUACACUGCACAAGGCAGAUACAGAAAAGCUAAAAACAUAAGGACAAACAUAAACUCAGGUUUGUGCUCUUGCUCUCCAUCAGUCUGCUUGUUUGGUGUUGAUCUCCAUCUUCAUCUUCUUGUUCCUGUGCUCGCUCUCGCACUUGCUCUCCAUUGACUCGAGGUUUUCUGGUUGAUCUUCCUCCUAGUCUUCUGGUGAUCCUACCGCUUCACCAGCUUCAGUCUAUAAAGGCUUUUUCUUUGACUUUUCUGUUUUCCCAUUUUUGGCAUCAUCAAAAGGGUAGAUGACUGAUGCUGGAAGGCAUGAUCAGUCAAUACUCAACUCCAUUUCUCUGGCUGUCAGAAGCCCAUGAGAAGAUUCGAGGGGAGGUUGAGCAGAUUGGCUUGGACAGAAGGAGGAAGAAGAGGCUAAGGGAGAUGAUGAGGGAGAGUAAGAGGAAGAGGGAAAUGGAUAUGGGAGUGAGUAUGCAGAGUCUAAGGUGAAAGAAGUAGGGCAAAUUGUGGCUCUACAUACGGAUGUGAAGAAGUCUCAGGACAAGUUGCCUUCGACUUCUUCGCCCGUGGGAAGGGUAUGAGAAGGAAAGAUCGAAUCAGUGGUAGUCGUGAGGACUAGCACUGCGGAUUCGCCUGCAUCAGGUCUAUAAUGAGAAGACCAUGUGCGGCACGGAGUCCUAGCAUACAACGAGGAUGCACUCGUCGUUGCUGAUGUUGGAGGUGGUGUGCAAGUGGCACAAGGUGAGUUUGAAGACCACUUGAAGCAACUUUUAGUUUUAGUUACUUCAAGUUCUUUCCUCCAGAAGCACGUUAGCUUCUUAAUGAUGUGAAUUACGAUGGAAGACACCCGAUUCCCUGGAUCAAAGUGGAAAAGGAAAUGAGCUUGAGUUUGGAGACGGGCUUCAUUCCAGUUGAAUGGCCCUGUGUGAAUCAGAGCAGCUAGCACCAUUUUCCUACUGUAUGAAGUCUUUGUCCUUGGUUUUCCCAUAGUUGGAACAAGAAAUUUCUGCAGAGGGAGAUUUUUCUCACAGAGAAGUCUGUGGAAGAUGAUUAGUAGAGAUGAAGAAAACUUGCAAGACUAAAGCAUUUAAGGAAAAUGAGGAGAAGAAAAUUACUCGGUUCUUGUGCCUUAAAACAUUUUUAAUGAGAUAUUCACAUCCGCUGUCACUGUGGGAGUGACGAGUGCUUCAAAAGUAGGAAGAAUAUAAUCAUUAUUCAUUGUCAAAUCAGUGGGAUUUACAAGAUUUACUGCAGAGGCAUGUGAUCUAAACAGAAGAAAGAGCUAAUUUGACUAAGAAAAUUCUUCUAAUUUUUCAACAAUGCCAAGAUAGGUGACUUGUGAGUAUAGUAUAGCAUUUAAACUAGUCGUCAGUCAUAAGUAAAGAAUAAAAAUUGAUAAUAACAAUUCACACAUCAGUUGUUCAGUUAAGUUAUCAAAAUGUUUAAAGCAGUUGAACACAUGGAUACUUACUAAUCGACUGAACAUUGUAGUUAGGCGAUACCUCAUUUUAGUUAACUGAAUACUUUGAUUCCUCCUUAACUGUAACUUAUCUCCUUGGUGGAUACCUCUUCGGAAAUUGAAGAGAUAAUGGAACUUAAGUAAUGGGAAAACUGAUGAGUUAUCAGUUGGAGAAAUUACGAGGACAGUAUACUCCUUUCAAGAUAACUGGUGAGAUAUCAGUUUUUGGUACAAGGCGGACAUUUGCCAAACAAAAGAGAAAGUGUUUACACUCCUAAGCAACCAGCUAAAGCUUUAGUAGGUAGAUGUCAUAGACCGCUCUUUUGAUGCCAUUGUAAUCCUCUGGAUGUUUCUUUUCUGUGACUUCCCAGAUUCUGCGUAGAGCUGCAACCUCAUUUCUGACGAUCUCUUUGUCGAUGCUCUUGUGCUUUGGAGGACGUAUGAUCUCAGAAGGAAUGGGAUAGCUGACAUCCUUUCUCUUUCUUUUGCUUCUAGCAAUCUAUUCACCAUCUUCUGCUCUGUCCAAUUGUUCAGAAAGUAUACCCAGGCUCGUCUUUGGAAUUCUGGAUCUCGUUGAAGAUUGGCAAAGAUUAUCCAUUUGGUAUAAAUUUCUUUUAGUCUUGCCCACCAAUCAUUCAUGUCUUCAGGUACCCAAUUAUCUUUUCGAUCGCAAUUAUCCAGAUAGGAUACAAGAAGACCUUCUUUGAUAUAGAACUCCAGUAUUUGUCACUCUUGGAGUAUGAAGGUGGGAUGAGGUGGUGCAGGUUCAGCUAGUUUUAGUGCCUUCUUUGCUCAUGGCACAUGUUCUCUUGUCUCUUGCUCUUCAGUUCUGGACCUUUUCCAGUGUUCUCUGGACAUGGACGAAGCAUGAGGUAGCUCUAGUGCAGCGCCGACUGAUCCGAUUGAUUGUUCAGUACCCUAGAACUCUGCCUUCUUUCUAUCAACAUCAUCCAUGCGAAGUGGAAGAUCUUGAAUAUCAUUGAACAUCUUCUGGAUGAGUGAGGAGUUGUGAGAGUCACGGAUGACACUAAGUUCAACUUCCAGUUGUGCAAUCUGUGCGUUGACGGGUCGGAGUUCAUAUAUGAUCAGCAUCUUUGCAUCAACUUUAGUCAGGAAUCGUUGCAUGAGCUCAGUGUGAAGUUUGUUGAGGUUGAGCUGAGCAUCCAUCUGCAGUUGCUUGACUUGGAGUUCCGCGAGCGUCAAUUGGUCUUUAAUGACUUCAAUUAUCUUUUGAAUGCUAGGAACAAUUACUGACAUGGUGACACGCACCCGUCGUGCGGUACGAUCAAAAUACCUGUGUAUGCCCCAGACGGACAGUACACGCUCCUACUUCUCGUAACCAGAAAUAAGUCUUAGUAGCAAGUAUAGGGUCGAAUCCCACAGGGAGUGAGGAACCACUUUGUUCUCCAACGACAAACUGAGGUGUCACAUGUCUCAAUCUGUAUACUUUGCACAAGAAACUAAACAAAGAUCAAUAAUAACAAAGGGGUGAGGUUUUACGGUUAGGUUAUAACUGUUGUCAAUAUUUAUUUCGGUCAUAGGCAUACUGAUGAUCCGUCCAUGAUCCAUAUAGACUCAAGGCGUGGCCCAAAGACAUUGGGGUGUUUCAAGAGGUUAUACUUCACACUUAGGAUGGUUGAGUCAAUUGUAGUCACUUGGUCCGAAGGUCACAUAUUUCCCGGUCACAAGGCAGUGUUUCACUCCUCCUUAGAUAGUAGUCACACCUGUUACUCACCAAGUAUGACCCUCACCAACCUUCUCUCCCGAGGUCCCCAACUCUGCACUGUGAGUGACACAUGCCUCCUGGACACAACCAUUUUCGGCUUGUCAGCCGACCAGUCAUAGACAUGCUACGGCGCAGAAGUUACCUUCCUCGUUUGAUAACCAUGGCUUAAUGCCUCGUCACAGUUGAUGGGUAGUUUCUAGAGAAGCCCAAGACUGAGGGAGGACAGUGUAUCCCAUCAAUCCUUUCCUCAUCUUCCGGAUCUACAACGCCUUUUGUUGACGCUGCUCAGCUACUCGGUCUUGGGUUUACCGGUUGUCACGCCCUGGUAUACCCUGGCCUUUGCUUGACACGGACAGUGUUUUACCGAACGGAGACCACCCGUUAGGCCCCUACUAUCCAUGGUUUGGAACAGAUCCUUCCGGAACCAUGAGACUCAACCGAAAGAACAAAUGUCUCACGAAUGUUUACAUAUUGACAACAAUUAUUUCCACCCCUUAAACCUUACCAAGAGAACUACUCACGCAUAGCAGUAAAUAUGAAUGCAAAAUGAAAUAAACACAACAUAUAACAAAAAAGGAAUUACUUGAAUUAAUGAAAGAGUACCUAAGGCCACGAGACUUAAUCUUGUUCCUUGCGUGAAUUGAAAAUGAAAGUAAUAAGUACUGGAAGUGUAAUUUGUUUUGAUGCCACAAAUCGGCAGAAUUCAAAAGUAAUAAACUAAGCAAAAGUUCAAUGGGCCAAGAGCUCUCUACGCUGCACAUCUCAAUCCUUUUAUAUUGUCAUCUGGUGGAGGGCUAACCCUAGCUGUGCAUAUGAUCUUCAAAUCUUCAGCACGAUCUUCUUUUCUUUUCUGGCUCCAUUGUGAAUGAUUUGAUUGAAGAUUCGGCUGAUUAUUUCCUUCCGCAGCAGAUUAGGUUAACUCAUCUGUCUUCUGGAUCCUUCUACCUCCUUCUUCAUUCUUUCCAUGAUCAUCCUUCUCAUCAUUAGAAUUCACUGCACAAUCUGGCAACUGCUGGGUUCUCCUGUUGGUAGUGAUCAGAUGGAUUGCUUCUUUCGAUUUGAUCCAUACCAGGUGGGUUGCUUCGGGUUCCCAUACCCCAAGUUAAACUUGAGAGGUACUGCGCCUAGGCUCCAUGCUGGUAAACAUGAUAUUGCAAUCUGGGCUGGUAAUGCCCAUUCCGACCACAUUUCCUUCAUUUUUGCUCUACAUGACUGUUUCCCCAUUAUGACUUGGUUUCCCCCGAAAGGACCUGAACUGACACAAACAAAGGAGAAAAAUAGGGCCAAAUGGUCCAAAAGUCGAAGACACAUCACACCUACACACUUAAACCAUACUUGCCCUCAAGUAUGUGGGUGGAUUCACGAAAGACACAGACGAAAAAGAGAUUGAAAGGAAGGGUAGACAGCUUAGUCAAAACCACAAACCAAAAAGUAAUGAAUAUGCAUAAAGUACGAUAGUAGCUUCUCUCUCACUCAAGUAUAUAGCUAAAUGUAUACACUCGUGCUAUGCUGUGCCAUUUUUUCUAUGAAUUUGAUUGAAAACUACAAGUAAAACAUACUAGCAUGACUCAUCAGAGGGACUUUCAUUUGGUUGUAGUGGGGCAUACGGAGCAGAGGUGAGAUAUGUAUAGUUAAGUAGUUAAUUCAGUAUCACCCAUACCCAGCAUGUGUGCUCAGUAAGAUCACAACCAACAUUUCAUUCCCCUGUUUUUAGUAGGGAUCAACCUUUCUUCAAUUUUUGGCAAUAUUUUCUCAUCGACUUUUUUUUUUGUGCCCAGAUUUUCUUUUUUUCCUUUCAAUUCCUUGUUUACCAUUUCAUGCACACCAACAAUUCUUUCGUUUUAAAUACAAUCUCAUCAAUCAAAUAGGCUCAGAAAAGAAUAUGUUCGGCUCAAAUUGGCAUAGCAAGGGGUUUUAUCACAUUUAGCAAAAGAAAAUUCUGGGGCACUAAGCAAAGAAAUAUGCCCUAAUCAUGCAAGUCACUACUAGCAGUAGAAGUUUUCAAACAAAGUCCAGAGUCCCUAGUACAGCAAAGCCUCACGAGAAAUAUGCAUUUUUUCACAAAUAUGGCUCUGAUCUCACUGACGGGGUUAUUAUCUGUAAGCUCACAACUACUAUCAUGCAUAUCAUACUCAUCCACCAAUUCAUACCACAACCAAAAUCAGCAUGCAUACUCUCAUCACCAUCAAUUAGCGCAAGUAAGAUUCGACCCCAAACACAUACUCGCAAGAUACUAAAACAUGAAAGAAAACAAAAGCAAAAACAAAACCUAAUCUAAAAAAAAGUUCAGGGAAAAAGAACCUAAUCAUUUUGGUCGGAGGGCUCGCCCUCCGCAUCCAGCUUCUCUUUGAUUGCCUUAAAACCAGCCUCCAUCGCCUUGAAUCCUAUUUCUACGGUGUCCCUCAGAGUUGCUACUUCUCCACCCAACAUCAACAGCUCAUCCUUGAUCUCCUUCAGCUCGACCAUCAGCGCGGCGAUUUUGCUAUUAACCAAGUGAGAUGCUUCCUGUUCCUUCACUGCUUUUUGAAUAGGCCUAACUGAACUGCCAUCCAGGUAGACCAGGCGGUAGCCACCUCUCUCAUCAGCCUCGAUGAUUCUCCAACGCAUAAGGCAUCCAAUGUCAAGGAAACCGGUCUCCGCUACAGCUGCUUCAUCUGGGGCUUUAGCAUUGAAAUAUGCGAGUUUGUUCUCCAGAAUGGUCACCAGUGGGCAUAGAGAAAGGUAUUUAUUGGUAUGGGUUACCCCAUACUGAAACUGCAUUGCCGCGGUGAACCUGAAGUUCACCAUCUUCUUCUCCGCUAUGCACCAGAGCAGGAAAAGCUCUUGCUGUGGGACCACAUUAGAGCCCUCGAUUCGUUCGUAGAUGUUGUAGGCGAACCAAUGAUGGCAUAUCUGUAGGGCAGGGUCGCAGAUUUCGUUGGACUUGCUGUUGUUUUUCACAUACUUGGCUCCUGUCGAAAUUUGGGACCAGUAGAGGUCAAUCUGACUUUGCCAUUUGGGUAGGGCCAUGGUCUCAGCCUGUUUGUACUCGUCAUCAAACAUAUCUUUAUCCUCAAUCACCCCCAGGUGGAUGUUCAAAUCAUUAAUGGAGAGUGGGAAAAUCUUUCCCCGCAGCUGAAAACGCAGGGUGCCUGGGGUUUCGACUGUGUAAUUUCCCUUUGGUUUGAACUCCACCGUGCUCAUAAACUCCUCUGACAUUUGUUUAAACGCCAACACACUCCACCCUAACACCUUCACCCAACCAAUAUUCUUAAAGUAACCUUUCACGCGCUCUCUUAUCCCAAAAUCAUCCAACACCUCAGCAAUCAGAAAAUACCAUGGAGUUAUUUCCCGGUUCAGCAGAAUAGCAUACCUCUGACUGUCCUUCGGUAUGACCACCUCUGCGGUGCUAGGACGCACCAAUCCUUUGCACUUCACAACCUUCGGCUUCGAGAUGAUUGUGCUUGUCACCGGCUUAGCAGGGGCAACAAUGUCUUCGGAGUUAGAGCUCUCCACAAUCUCAGUCUUCUCUGGCUCUGCCUCCAUUGGUAUUUCCAUCUCCUUGGCCUUUCAUUUCUCAGCUGCAGUAGGCUUCUUCUUUUUUCUGCUUUGUUCGCAUUUGGUUCUAGUCUUACUGCCUACUGGCGAUGGUUUGGCUUUGACGGGCAGUGGAGGCUUCGUAACAUCAAGUUUCCUCUUAACCCCCAGCCUCUUGCUUUGUGGUGGAGGAAUUUCUACCUCCUCCUCGGGAAUGGCCUCAGCACCCUCCUCUUCUUCAGCUUCUUCCUCUUCUUCCUCUCCUUCUUCUCCCGUAUCUUCGGAGGCGGUUUUCCCUUCUUGCAUGGAGGUUUAAAGAAUUUGCGGUGGUGGUUGAGCUUGAAUUGGUGGUAUUGGCGCGGCGACGGACCGUGCGGGAGUUGCCUUCGUUGCCUUGUCCAUUGGGGCUUUCUUCGACUUCUUCGCCGGAGGCGUAAGCUCAGGCUCCUCUUCUUCCGGCCCCUCCGGUUGUUUUGACUCAACGGCUGCCCUUGCGGUCUUCUGCUCCUCCUAUCGUAAAACUUCAACACGUCCUCUGUCCUCGGGCUGAAUAGUCAAUAAGGGGUCUUCAGUGACCUUGGUGGAGGUCUCUUCAGAGGUGGUUCGCCUCGUAGUUCACUUCGGAGAUGGUGGUUUUGGUGUUCUUUCCUCUCGGUGGUUGAGUGCUUGGACGCUAUCCCUCCUUUAGUUUUUCCAUGGUAAUUUGUGAGUCUAGGUCAUUUUUUUUUCUUUUUGUGGGGAAGUUUGGGUUUGUGGAUUGAGAAUAAGCUUGCUUUAGAUGAUUGGCGUUUGGAAUUUAGGGUUUGGGAGUGGGGAUCAUGGUGUAGCGGUUUUGAAGGUUAGGGUUUGUGGGUGUGAAUCGUGGGUUGAGGGGUUUAAAGAAGGUAAGAGUGACGGUUAUGGCAGUAUUUUGGUUUCUAAGGAAAGAAAUCAUUGGCAAAAUUUGAAUUUCAAAUUUGCUGCGGAAACCGAAGAGUUCCCGUCAAAUCACCGCCUGCCGCUGACACUCCUACGUCAGUUUCCUUUGUAAGCCCUCAGCUAGAAUAUUCAAAGCCCCAAUCCUCCACCUACACACUUUGCAACGCAAAGUGGGCUCGGAUUCUCCACUGGGCCUCCAACCGAAACUUUCUUGGCCCGACUCCCUACAAGAUUAGUGCAUCCAAACAAAAUAGAACAAACUUAAAGAAAAGAAACUUCGGUAAAGACCAUACCAAAUAACAACGCUGGGUUGCCUCCCAGCAAACGCUCUUAUUUUUUGUCUCGAGCUCGACUCUUUCUUCAUCUUUCAGUCGUACACAGGGUUGAGAAGUUGGCAUUCCUCCUUCUCUUUCUCUACUUCAGCAAGUUCAUGGUAGGGCUUCAAGCGAUGCCCAUUUACCACGAAUGUAUCAACUCCAUUGUGAUCAUACGCCCUUAUGCUUCCAUUUGAAAAGAUUUCUUUGAUCACAAACGGUCCAGACCAUUUUGAACGAAGCUUCCCUGCCAUCAUUUUGAAAGAGAAUUGAAAAGUAAAACUUUUUGUCCUGCCCAAAACUCUUUCUUCCUGAUCUUGCCAUGGAUUCUCCUGGUUCGCUCCUUAUAGAGCACAUCAUUAUCAUAAGCCUCCAACCGAAGUUCUUCUAACUCACUCAUCUGCAGCUUCCGUGUUUCUCCAGCUAGGCUCAUACUAAGGUUUAUUUGCUUGAUUACCCAGUACGCCUUAUGUUCAAUCUCCACCGGUAGAUGACAUCUUUUUCCAUAGAGCAGCCUGAAAGGGGACAUACCUAUAGGUGUUUUGAAAGCAGUUCGGUAUGCCCAUAACGCAUCUCCCAAGUGGUUACUCCAGUCCUUGCGGUUUGGGUGUAGCACCUUUUCCAAAAUGCUCUUUAUCUCUCUAUUGGAAAUCUCAGCUUGGCCAUUUGCUUGAGGGUGAUAUGCUGUAGUAACCUUGUGUGUCACCCCCGCCUUCUUGGUCAGUGCUCUGAUGGUGGCAUUACAGAAGUGAGAUCCUUGAUCGUUGAUUAGGAUCUUGGGUACACCAUAUCUCUCGAACACUUGUUCCUUCAAAAAUUCGGCCACAGUGUGAGCAUCAUUCCUUGCAGUUGCCUUGGCUUCGACCCACUUUGACACGUAGUCCACUGCUACUAGAAUGUAUUCAUGGUUCUUUGACUUUGGGAAGGGUCCCAAAAGUCAAUUCCCCACACAUCAAAAACUUCAACAGGCAUGAUUGGAAUUUGCGGUAUUUCAUCCCUUGCGGUAAUACCUCCAGUCAUCUGGCACUUUGGGCAACUUUGUACCUACUUCCUUGCAUCUGCAAAUAUAGUUGGCCAGUAAAAUCCACUUUCUAAAAUCCGGUGGGCCGUGCGCUUUCCUGCAAAAUAUCUACUGCACGCCGUUCCAUGAUACAUAUUUGGACAUGCUCAUCCUCUGGUAUGCAUCUCCGUAUGACCUUAUCUGCUCCAAUCCUCCACAGAUAUGGAUCUUCCCAAUAGUAAAAUCGGGCUUGUACCAGUAGCUUCCUCUGCUCGAACCUUGAUAAUCCUAGGGGUAACUCCUUCGUGAUCAGGUAAUUAGCUAUAUCAGCAUACCAUGGCUCCUGAUUGGUUAGGGCAUACAACUUUUCUUCUUCUGUAUGGGUGUAUACAGAGUAUAGCUUCUCGUCUGGAAAGGUAUCGGUAAUAGGCAUACCGUCAUCUUCUUCCAGUUGCAAUCGGCUCAAGUGAUCCGCUACUAGAUUAGCUGCCCCCUUCUUAUCUCUUAUCUCAAUGUUGAACUCUUGUAGCAGCAAGAUCCACCUGAUAAGUCGAGGUUUUGACUCCUUCUUGGCCAUCAAAUAUUUCAGAGCUGCAUGGUCCGUGUAGACAAUUGCUUUCGUUCCCAAAAGAUAGGAACGAAACUUUUCUAUGGCAAACACAACUGCCAAAAGUUCCUUCUCGGUAGUGGUAUAACUGCACUGUGCUGGGUUCAAAGUCUUGGAGGCGUAGUAGAUUACACAACUCUCUUUUCCUUUCUUUUGCCCCAGUACUGCCCCAACUGCAUGGUUGCUGGCAUCACACAUAAUUUCGAACGGUAGGUCCCAGACCGGAGGUUGGAUAAUUGGGGCUGACACUAACUUGCUUCUCAAAACUGUGAAUGCCUCCUUGCAAUCAUCAUCAAACUCGAACGGUACAUCUUAUUGCAAAAGUCUGGUCAUGGGCUGAGCAAUCUUGGCGAAAUCUUUGAUGAAUCGCCGGUAGAACCCUGCAUGACCAAGGAAUGCCGUAUGUGCUUUACCGUGUCGGGUAGGGCAGUUUGGCAAGAGCAAUUUUUCCUUAUCCACUUCGAUUCCCCUCUCCGAGAUCACUGCCCCAGCACUAUUCCUUCUUUUUACCAUAAAAUGGCAUUUUAUAGUUAAGAACCAGCUUUUCUCACACAUCUCUUCAACACGAGCUCUAGAUGAUUGAGACAAGUGUCAACGAGUCUCCUACACGGUGAAGUCAUCCAUGAAAACUUCAAUACAAUUCUCAAGUAAGUCAGAAAAUGCUCAUCAUACACGUUGAAAGGUUCCCGGCGCAUUCAGUCCAAAUGGCAUUCUCCGAUAUGCGAAUGUUCCAAAUCACAAGUGAAAGUGUUUUCUCUUGGCUUCAUGUGCCACAAAAUUUGCAUAUACCCGGAAUAUCCUCCAAAAAGCAGUAAUAGGCAUUACCAGCUAUCUCUCAGCAUCUGGUCAAUAAAGGGUAAUGGGAAGUGAUCCUUCCUUAUUGCCUCUUCAGCUUCCUGUAGUCAAUGCAAACCCUCCAUCCAGUUUGCAAACGGAUUGGUACCAGCUCGCCUUGGUCAUUCUCAAUGACCUGUAUCCCCGACUUCUUGGUAGACAUGGACGGGGCUACCCAUUGCUAUCGGAGAUGGAUAAAAAUUCCCAAUUCCAACAGCUUCAAGAUUUCUUUAAGUACCACCUCCUUCAUAACUGGGUUCAUCUUUCUUUGUGAGUCUCGGACAGGUUUGGUUCCUUCCUCCAAAUAGAUGUGGUGCAUGCACUCUGUUGGACUGUCCCCUUGAUAUCAGCCAAGGUCCACCAAUGGCUUCCCUUUCUCCCGUAAGACUCUGACUAGACGUUCUUCCUGCACAAGAGUUAGAUCUGCGCUGAUGAUGCUGGAAGUGUUUGUAGGACCCAAGUAAGCAUACUGCAAACUUGGGAAUUCUUAGUUCCAGUACGGGUGCCUUUACUAUAGAGGUAGAAGCUUCUCGUUCUGCCCAUACUGACCAAUAAUCUGGUCUGCCUGCUGUCCUCCAGCUGAAUAGACUCCUGGAUCAUAUCCUUGAUCUUCUGAUCUACUUCCACUAGCUUCCAAAGUGUUUCUCGGAGAGAGUAAAGCUCCAUGAUGCUUCUUUCAUUCCUCUCUCCAUAUGUCUGCAUCUCGAUGGUAACCAUACUGAAUUACUUUCUCUGUGUAUCCCCAACCAAACAAUUCCUGUUCUUGACAGGGUUCAAACACAUCGAUCAUGUCCACCUUUCCAUUCUUGUUCUCUUCAUGGUUUCAUAAUGUUGAACUCUUCUGGACCAUCAAACUCACAGUUAAGAUUCCGGUUUCAUAUCAAUUUUGGUUCCAGCGGUCAUCAUAAGCUCCCAAUAUAUACAUUCUCCGUUUCGCCGGUGUCCAGAACAUAAAUCGCUGGGAAAUCAAAUCCCAACUUAUCAGUACGUCCUCCACCACUCCGUCAGGGUAAGCGUUGGAUCUGUCAGCCAAUUGUAUGACCACACGGGUGUUCCUCAUCUCACCAAUAUUCAACCUUUUGUAAACAGCCAAUGGCAUCACAUUAAUGGAAGCUCCCAAGUCCAUCAUUGUCAUACCCCGACUUUUAAUCCCUGAUUAAGGGCUUAAUUAUUAAUAAUUAGGGUUCGGCAUCCAUUAAUAAUAAAACUGGUUUGAUUUAUCUGAUGUGAUUUAAUCGUUAUAUAUGUGUUUUAAUGUGCUUAGUUAAAGAAAAUUUUUGUAAAUGCGGUGCAUAAGUUUUAAUUGGUGAGUUAAGUGUAUUUAUAUGAGCAAGUUAUUAUGAUUUUUAUUUGAGGAUUAUAGCACUUGGAAUUUUAAUUAAAUUUCUAAAGCAAGUGCAGUUUAUUUUUACCGAGAAAUCGAAUGAUGCUGAUUUAUGGAAAUUUUUCCAAGCAUAAUAUUUUUAAAUUAUUUUUCCUACGAUGAAGAAUAUUAAAAUUGAGUGAGUGCACUAAUAUUAGUGCUAUAAUUAUUUUAUUUGGUCACAUGAUAAUUAUGUAUGGUAUUUAUUAAUGAGUAUAUUUCCAUAAUUAUUGUGAUUAUUUUUAAUCACCCUUCUCACAUUAUUAUUUUAAUUUCCCAAGCAUGUGACUAAAUACCACAAAUUUGCAAAUGGAUGUAGAGAUUGAGAGAGUGUAGAGAUUAGAGAGAGAGUGUAGAGAUUAGAGAGAGAGAGAGAUCAAGGCAUUAAUUGCCAAUAUUUGCUAAGAUUUCCAAAUAUUCUCAAAGAUCAUCUAAACCUUCUAAAAUCUUGCAAAUCAAUUCAUAUCUUUCCAAGCAACUCUCUCUCUCCAUCCUCACCAUUUUCGGCCAUCACCUUCUCUCCCUCAUCUCUCACUUUCCACCAUUAACAACCAUAGAUGAGACCUUCGGAGCUUCCAAAAAUUAUGCCAACACAUAAAUCUCCAUCAAAAUCUUCCAUAAACACAUCCUAGCUACUUAAAUUCAAGAGAAUCCUUGAAGAAGGGCUUCAAAGCUAGAGUGAGAAAGUGUGGGUUUUGGUAAGAAUUUGGGUAAGUGACCAUGUAUUCCAUAAAUUUUGCUUGAAUGAUGUUGUAUGUGAGUAUUCUUGAAAGAUUGAAGCUAGAAAAUCACCCCCUUCCUUUUUCUAAAGUUUUCGAAAAUUUGGGUCUUCAACCCAUCAAAAAAUUUUCUUUUUCUUUUCUUGAUCUGGGGUGAAAAAUGAGAUCUAAGUGAUGUUUGUUGAUGAUUGAUGUGUGUUGUGAAGUAUAUGCCUUGAGAUGUGAAAGCAUCAUGAUCAAGAAGAGGCGACAUGGGAAAAGUACCCAGAAUUAUUUCCUGUUGUACAAAUUUCGGGACGAAAUUUCUUUUAAGGGGGAUAGUAUGUCAUACCCCGACUUUUAAUCCCUGAUUAAGGGCUUAAUUAUUAAUAAUUAGGGUUCGGCAUCCAUUAAUAAUAAAACUGGUUUGAUUCAUCUGAUGUGAUUUAAUCGUUAUAUAUGUGUUUUAAUGUGCUUAGUUAAAGAAAAUUUUUAUAAAUGCGGUGCAUAAGUUUUAAUUGGUGAGUUAAGUGUAUUUAUAUGAGCAAGUUAUUAUGAUUUUUAUUUGAGGAUUAUAGCACUUGGAAUUUUAAUUAAAUUUCUAAAGCAAGUGCAGUUUAUUUUUACCGAGAAAUCGAAUGAUGCCGGUUUAUGGAAAUUUUUCCAAGCAUAAUAUUUUUAAAUUAUUUUUCCUACGAUGAAGAAUAUUAAAAUUGAGUGAGUGCACUAAUAUUAGUGCUAUAAUUAUUUUAUUUGGUCACAUGAAUAAUUAUGUUAUGGUAUUUUAUUAAUGAGUAAUAUUUCCAUAAUUAUUGUGAUUAUUAUUUAAUCACCCUUCUCACAUUAUUAUUUUCAUUUCCCAAGCAUGUGACUAAAUACCACAAAUUUGCAAGUGGAUGUAGAGAUUGAGAGAGUGUAGAGAUUAGAGAGAGACUGUAGAGAUUAGAGAGAGAGAGAUCAAGGCAUUAAUUGCCAAUAUUUGCUAAGAUUUCCAAAUAUUCUCAAACAUCAUCUAAAUCUUCUAAAAUCUUGCAAAUCAAAUCAUAUCUUUCCAAGCAACUCUCUCUCUCCAUCCUCACCAUUUUCGGCCAUCACCUUCUCUCCCUCAUCUCUCACUUUCCACCAUUAACAACCAUAGAUGAGACCUUCGGAGCUUCCAAAAAUUAUGCCAAACACAUAAAUCUCCAUCAAAAUCUUCCAUAAACACAUCCUAACUACUUAAAUUCAAGAGAAUCCUUGAAGAAGGGCUUCAAAGCUAGAGUGAGAAAGUGUGGGUCUUGGUAAGAAUUUGGGUAAGUGACCAUGUAUUCCAUAAAUCUUGCUUGAAUGAUGUUGUAUGUGAGUAUUCUUGAAAGAUUGAAGCAAGAAAAUCACCCCCUUCCUUUUUCUAAAGUUUUCGAAAAUUUGGGUCUUCAACCCAUCAAAAAUUUUUCUUUUCUUGAUUUGGGGUGAAAAAUGAGGUCUAAGUGAUGUUUGUUGAUGAUUGAUGUGUGUUGUGAAGUAUAUGCCUUGAGAUGUGAAAGUUCGAUGGAGUUUAGUUUACCCAAAAUUGGGAACUUUUGAGUCAAUGGUUAAAAUGAUUAAUAGAUGAUGAAGAUGAGUCCAUGAGAUGUAUAUGAUGAUGAUUGAUGGAGUAAAUUGAGUAUAUGAUGUCAAUUGAUGAUUUUGAUAUGAGUUAGUUUAAUAAAAUUAGGGAUAUGUGUAUCUAUGCUCUAAUUUGUAAAUUGAUGGGUUAUAUGUGAGAUUAAUUGGCUAAGAUUGAUAGACCUAUGAAUGGAUUAAGGUAUCAUGUGUGUUUAUUAAAUUUCAAAGUAGUUUAGUUUAAUAAAAAUUAGGUACUUUUUGCCUAUGUGUUAUUUAAGUGUAUUUGGCUUAAGAUAUAUGUAUUUGAGCAUGAUAUUAGUGUAUAAUUAUGUUUGAGUAAGUCUUUUGUUGGCUAAGUAAAUUUUUUGUACUUAGUUUAGUUUGUAUGAGUUUUUGUUUUUUUUUUUUUUGUGAGGUUGAUGCUUGUAAAAUGAGGUCUAAUUGCUUUAUGACUAUUAUGUGAAAGUUUGUCAUGUUUUAUUAAGAGUUUUAUGUUGAUACAUGAGUUUCAUUAGAGUUUAGUUUACAUGAUAAAAGGGAAUCUAUAUGUGUAUGAUGAUUUAUAUGAUGAAUGAGAUCUUGUUUGAGUAUUUGAGUAAUUUUGAGCAUGAAAAUGAGAAGAGAAUUUUUUUGAUGCGUUCGUUGAAAUGUUUUCUUGAGAUUUGAGUUUAUGAUGUAAGAAGAGAGUCGAGAUUGAGUAUUAUGAGUAUUAUGUUGUGCUUGAAUGUUUUUUAGUGCUAUAUGUGUUUAAAAUGAGCUUUGAUUGGUUUUCUUUGAAGGGAUGUUGGGUUGAGCAUUUAAGAGUUUGAGAUGAGAUUUUGGUGUAAUUUCGUAGGCCUACUGACCUACUGUGAUCGAUGGUUUUUAGAUGUCUAAUAGCUUUGAAAAUUUUAUAGCAAAUCCCUACAUGAGUCUUAAGCACACCGNUUGUGCAUGAAAAUGAAAAGAGAAUUUUAAUGAUGCGUUCAUUGAAACGUUUUACUAGAGAUUUGAGGUUAUGAUGUAAGAAGAGAGUCAAGAUUUGAGUAUGAUGAGCAUUAUAAUUAUAAUGUGCCUGAAUGUUUGUGAGUGUUAUAUGUGUUUAAAAUGAGCUUUGAUGAGUUUCCUUGAAGGAAUGUUGAGUUGAGUAUUUUAAGAGUUUGAGAUGAGAUUUUGGUGAAUUUCGUAGGCCUACUGACCUACUGUGAUCGACGGUUUUCAAUGUACAAAAAAAAAAACUUUGAAAAUUUUAUACCAAGUCUCUACAUGAGUCUUGAGAACAUCGGUA